GUCUGAGGGGAAAACCUUUUUAGUGACCCUGAACACUGGCUCACACAGCACUGGGGACCCACCCAUCUCAUCAGACCUCCAAGUCCAUUCUGUUUAACUUCUGAAAUAGGGCUCAAGCGGCCAUCCCCGAUUUGCGGCAUCAGCACCCGGCCCAGCCGCGGUUUAGAGACCGGGUUCACAAUGAUCAAUGGAGCUAUGGAAACAGCAGACAUCGCGCCGGAGCCUGCUGGCCUCCCAUCUGGAGCCUCACAGGCACUGAAGGUUCCCCCAUCCUGCCUUCAUAGCACUAGGGAGUAAGCGGCUCCUGUUUUACCAUGAUGUGGGAUUCUGAAUGGAUGACAGAGGAUAAGAAUCUACAGAGGUGGAUUUCUUGGAAAUGUGCAGAUGGCAUGCUACAGAUGAGACAACAUUCGUAGGCUGCGAGAUACGCGUAUGCACACAGAUAAACCAGACUUUGGAUCUAACCGGUAUGGCAAAAAGCAGAAUAUCACAGACGGAAGCAUGAUUCACAGGAAAAGAUCUGUCCACUCAGAACUCACCCUUGAGAAGAAAAACAGCUUGGGGCCUAGAGAGAGAUAAGCAGUCUUCAUGCCAUAAGCUACUAAUUCUUUGAUAAAAUGAGAGAGACUUCAACGUGAGGAUAACAUAUGCGUAAGAGUCAUUAGUGGCAAAAAUUUCUGAAAUCUCUGAAUGUGCUAAGAGCCGAUCCACGGAAAGAAAUUCUACCUGAAGCAACAAUGCCGUAUUGAGGGCUUCCCAGAGGGGAAGAAUGCUCUGCUCCCCUAUCCCCCAGUGCCCUUGCCUGUACCCCCAACGUUUGACAGUUCCAUGCUACAGCAGGGAGCACCUACAGUGGAGGGGAAGAAUGGGAAUGGAAAUAGAAAGAAGGAAGUAUCCGAAGGGGGAUGGAAACUUAGCCUCUGUGCCUCAACAGACAGAACAUGGUCCAGAGGGACUACAAAUGGGGCUAAUUAGGACUACACGAUACCUAAUUAUAACUCUGCAGCUUGGUAUGGGAAAUGAAAGGAAAAGAAGUAA
Molecule: long non-coding RNA, 1038 nt
Organism: Mustela lutreola (European mink)
Lineage: Eukaryota; Metazoa; Chordata; Mammalia; Carnivora; Mustelidae
Exons: 3
Source: RefSeq, a predicted model, not a curated record